CGGUAGCUCCAAGGGGUAGAGCCCCCAGUUGAAACCUGGGGGGGCUGGUUCGAUCCCGGCCCGGACCA
This 68-nucleotide transfer RNA is filed under the name Myxococcales bacterium. RNAcentral's name for it is "tRNA-Phe". It matches the Rfam family "tRNA". Rfam says of the family: Transfer RNA (tRNA) molecules are approximately 80 nucleotides in length. RNAcentral also lists the same sequence under 1 other name. Lineage: Bacteria; Pseudomonadati; Myxococcota; Myxococcia; Myxococcales. The record is from RNAcentral.